GCUGGGCGUGGUAGCUCACGCCUGUAAUCCGAGCCCUUGGGAGGCUGAGGCAGGUGGAUCACUUGAGGUCAGGAGUUUGAGCCGCCUGGCCAACACAGUGAAACCCUGUCUCUA
This 114-nucleotide non-coding RNA is filed under the name Nomascus leucogenys (northern white-cheeked gibbon). Lineage: Eukaryota; Metazoa; Chordata; Mammalia; Primates; Hylobatidae. The record is from Rfam by way of RNAcentral.